UACGUAGGGGGCAAGCGUUGUCCGGAAUCAUUGGGCGUAAAGAGCGCGUAGGCGGCCCGGUAAGUCCGCUGUGAAAGUCAAAGGCUCAACCUUUGAAUGUCAGCGGAUACUGCCGGGCUAGAGUCCGGAAGAGGCGAGUGGAACUCCUGGUGUAGCGGUGGAAUGCGCAGAUAUCAGGAGGAACACCGGUGGCGAAGGCGGGUCUCUGGGCCGAUACUGACGCUGAGGAGCGAAAGCGUGGGGAGCAAACAGG
Molecule: ribosomal RNA, 253 nt
Filed under: uncultured bacterium
Lineage: Bacteria
Description: partial 16S ribosomal RNA
Rfam family: Bacterial small subunit ribosomal RNA
Source: RNAcentral